RNAcentral lists this unclassified non-coding RNA (2888 nucleotides) under Hevea brasiliensis (rubber tree). Lineage: Eukaryota; Viridiplantae; Streptophyta; Magnoliopsida; Malpighiales; Euphorbiaceae. The record is from RNAcentral.
UCAACCAGGAGCAGGCUUUGGUGCAGUCCCUGUGGGAUCUGUGCAACCUGGUUCCGGUUUAGUUAAUGGUACAGGUACUGAGUUUCAUCCGAGGCGUAUUGAUAGACAAAUUAGAAGAGGUAUGCUGUAAAUUUGGUACCUGGAGUAAUUUCAAGGCAUUCUCCAAGUACUUCAAAAAGUUUGAUUUUGGUGCACAUUCUGGAAACUAAAGAUUCUCAUAACAAGAAUCAUCUCAGAAUCCUACUUCAAAUCUACAUCAUUUACUCCCACCACACAAUUUAAACCAACCUGGCUAGCUAGUAGAGUGAAGGACAUGGCUGUUGGGCAAUCUGAGGUUGAGGCUACGGUGGAGAUGAAGGCGGGUGAGGAGGAGGAGGAGGAGCAGUGCCCUGUCAAACAAGUGGAGCUAACUGUGCCAAAAACAGAUGAUCCCAACAUGCCAGUUUUGACAUUUAGAAUGUGGGUUCUGGGUCUUGCUUCUUGUGUGAUAUUGGCAAUUGUGAAUCAGUUCUUCUGGUAUAGGACACAACCAAUGGUCAUCACCUCCAUUUCUGCACAGAUUGCUGUGGUGCCUUUGGGGCAUUUGAUGGCAAAAACACUGCCUAAGCGAAUGAUGUUUCAAGGGACUAAAUGGGAAUUCUCGUUGAAUCCAGGACCUUUCAACGUGAAAGAACAUGUUCUUAUCACUAUAUUUGCUAAUGCUGGAGCUGGAACUGUUUAUGCUACUCAUGUUCUCAGUGCUGUCAAGCUGUUUUAUAAAAGACAGCUCACUUUUGUUCCUGCCUUGCUUCUUAUGGUUACCACUCAGGUUCUGGGGUUUGGGUGGGCUGGAAUUUUCAGGAAAUAUCUAGUGGAGCCUGGAGAAAUGUGGUGGCCAAGCAAUCUGGUUCAAGUCUCAUUGUUCAGGGCUCUACAUGAGAAAGAGAAAAGACCAGCAGGAGGAUUGACUCGUAACCAUUUCUUCCUUAUAGCGCUUACCUGCAGCUUUGCUUACUAUGUAUUUCCAGGAUAUCUUUUCACCAUGUUAACAUCUGUCUCGUGGGUCUGUUGGCUGGCUCCCAAAACUGUUCUAGUUCAACAACUGGGUUCAGGCAUGCAAGGCCUUGGAAUUGGUGCUUUAGGUUUUGAUUGGUCUACAGUGGCUUCAUAUCUUGGUAGCCCACUUGCUAGUCCAUGGUUUGCCACUGCUAAUGUUGCUCUUGGAUUCUGUGCUAUAAUGUAUGUGGUGGUACCCAUCUGUUACUGGCUCAACAUCUACCAUGCCAAGACCUUCCCGUUAUAUUCUAAUGAUCUUUUUCAAGGAAAUGGUGAAGAAUAUGACAUUCGAAGCAUUGUAAAUUCCAAGUUUCAUCUUGAUAAGAAUACUUAUGCAAGUAUUGGGCCUGUACAUCUCAGUACGUUUUUUGCUUUGACCUAUGGAUUUGGAUUUGCAACGCUGCCAGCCACAAUUAUGCAUGUCCUCCUUUUCAAUGGAAGGUAAGCUCCAAAUCUAUGAAUGGCAACAAGGCAAUGUAGGGGGCAGAAAAGAUACUCCGUCCCCACCCGGAUCGGUUUCGGGAACGAUUAGCAUCCAUAUCCAAAUCUUCCCAUGUUACUUAGAAAGCAGAAAAGCCUUUUGCAGCACUUGCAAAGGUGUCACUAAUUUGUGUUUGCUUGCACUUGUUAAUUGCAGUGAAGUGUGGAAACAAAGCAAAAGAGCAUUUGGGGGAAAAAGCAAAAUGGAUAUACAUACAAGGCUUAUGUAGAAAUACAAAUCGGUUCCCUCAUGGUGGUUUCUUAUCAUUCUCAUCGUAAACAUUGCUGUUGUAAUCAUCACUUGUGAAUAUUACAAUGAGACGCUCCAAUUGCGUUGGUGGGGUGUUCUGCUAGCUUGUGCCAUUGCUCUUUUCUUCACUCUCCCAAUUGGGAUUAUUUAUGCCACCACAAACCAGGCACCAGGCUUGAACAUCAUUACAGAAUACAUCAUAGGUUACAUUUACCCUGAGCGCCCCGUUGCUAAUAUGUGCUUCAAGGUGUACGGAUAUAUUAGCAUGAUUCAAGCUCUAACCUUCAUACAGGACUUUAAGCUUGGCCACUACAUGAAGAUUCCACCUAGGUCCAUGUUCAUGGCACAGGUUGUAGGAUCACUUGUAUCUGUGUUUGUAUACCUACUAACUGCAUGGGGGAUGAUGGGGGCCAUCCCCAAUCUCUGUGAUAGAUCCAAGUUGCCUAAGGAUAGUCCAUGGAAAUGCCCAAUGGAUACAGUGUUCUUUGAUGCCUCUGUUAUAUGGGGGCUUGUUGGUCCCCGCAGAAUCUUUGGAAACCUUGGUGAAUACGGGAUGAUCAAUUGGUCCUUUGUUGGUGGAGCCAUAGCCCCUGUCUUCGUCUGGCUUGCCCACAAGGCUUUCCCAAGCAAGAAAUGGAUUCGUCUUAUCCACAUGCCUGUGCUGCUUGGUUCCACAUCAAUGAUGCCGCCAGCUACUGCUGUGAACUUCACUAGUUGGGUAACUCUUGGAUUCCUCUCUGGCUUCGUCUUUUACCGAUACCGUCCAAAUCUGUGGAAGCGCUAUAAUUACGUUCUCUCUGGUGGCCUUGAUGCCGGAACGGCCUUUAUGACAAUAUUGAUAUUCUUCAGUUUGAGUUACCAGAAAAUCAAUCUCGAAUGGUGGGGAAGCAGCUCAAAUAACCCAGAAGGGUGUCCUAUAGCUAGUUGUCCGACAGCCAAAGGUGUCCUUGUAGAUGGCUGCCCAGUUUUCUAAUCGAAGCAUCUUUAUCUCCAAAUCUAUUUUUAGCCUGUUCAGAGCAAUUAACUUUCUUUUCAAUCUGUAAAUAUUUUGCUGUGGAUGCUUUGGAUAAUAUCAGUGUUUCUUCUAGUGUGUAAAUCUAGUGAUUUAUUCUAAAUUUUAUUU